RNAcentral lists this ribosomal RNA (497 nucleotides) under uncultured bacterium. RNAcentral's name for it is "partial 16S ribosomal RNA". It matches the Rfam family "Bacterial small subunit ribosomal RNA", at positions 28 to 507 of the family's 1533-position model. The record is from RNAcentral.
GAUGAACGCUGGCGGCGUGCCUAAUACAUGCAAGUCGAGCGAACGGACGAGAAGCUUGCUUCUCUGAUGUUAGCGGCGGACGGGUGAGUAACACGUGGAUAACCUACCUAUAAGACUGGGAUAACUUCGGGAAACCGUAGCUAAUACCGGAUAAUAUUUUGAACCGCAUGGUUCAAAAGUGAAAGACGGUCUUGCUGUCACUUAUAGAUGGAUCCGGGCUGCAUUAGCUAGUUGGUAAGGUAACGGCUUACCAAGGCAACGAUGCAUAGCCGACCUGAGAGGAUGAUCGGCCACACUGGAACUGAGACACGGUCCAGACUCCUACGGGAGGCAGCAGUAGGGAAUCUUCCGCAAUGGGCGAAAGCCUGACGGAGCAACGCCGCGUGAGUGAUGAAGGUCUUCGGAUCGUAAAACUCUGUUAUUAGGGAAGAACAUAUGUGUAAGUAACUGUGCACAUCUUGACGGUACCUAAUCAGAAAGCCACGGCUAACUACGUG